CCAGGUUAGAGAUGUGAUCCAGGAAGACAGUGAACUCAGCAGGCAGGUGUUUCAGCAUGAGCCUGUGGUCAUAGGUGUCCUUCAGCUUCCCUACAUGGUCCUGGGGAGGGAGAGAGAUAGAUGGAGAGAGAGGUGUUUCAUGAUGAGCCUGUGGUCAUAGGUGUCCUUCAGCUUCCCUACAUGGUCCUGGGGAGGGAGAGAGAUAGAUGGAGAGAGAGGUGUUUCAUGAUGAGCCUGUGGUCAUAGGUGUCCUUCAGCUUCCCUACAUGGUCCUGGGGAGGGAGAGAGAUAGAUGGAGAGAGAGGUGUUUCAUGAUGAGCCUGUGGUCAUAGGUGUCCUUCAGCUUCCCUACA
Long non-coding RNA from Oncorhynchus keta (chum salmon), 353 nucleotides. RefSeq lists it as uncharacterized. NCBI's taxonomy places the organism in Eukaryota, Metazoa, Chordata, Actinopteri, Salmoniformes, Salmonidae. The record is from RefSeq and is a predicted model, not a curated record. The transcript is spliced from 3 exons.